UUCCGGGCGAUCAGAAGCCAGGGAUCUCUGGGCACCUAUGUGCCUGGGCCUGCUGGGGCGACCGGGGAGGCCCCUGCUCUCGUCCUCUGACGCUCAGCGCUGGCCCAGCCGCGACCUUGGGCUCCCGGAGCCCGGCGGAGGCGCCCAGGCGUGAAUGAUGUCCCUUGGAAUGUUCACUCUGGGGGAAGCCAGCUGCCACGCUGUAAGGACACUCGGGCAGUCCUAUGAAGAGGCCCGUGUGGUGAGAAAGAGAGGCCUCCAGCCAACAGCCAUGUGAGGAAACAGCCUGUCAUCCCAGCUGAGGCCAUCCUAGAUCAGCCAACUGUCAGCUGCUUGUGUGUCAGUGAACCCCAGCCAAGACCGGAAGACCUGCCCAGCUGAGCUCAGCCAAGAUCAGCAAAACCUCUCAGCUUAUAACCUUAUAAACUUACCAAUUUAGGUGUGGUUGUGACACAGAAUUAUUGUAUUAUUGUAUGCAUGGUGAGUAUUGUAUAUUACACAUGGGAAUCAUAGAAACAGUGAAAAGCCAGUAAUUUCUGAGUAUAUAUUAAAGUUAGGGCAAAUUGUGUGAGGUGGAGAAGCCACAUACUCCAAAUUUCUGGCCUGAGACAUUGGAAGAAUGAAUAUGGAUGAUGGAGGUGGAUAUUGAAUCUGAAAUGAAUUUUUCAUUUUGUGAAAUUUUGUGAAGUUUCAUUUUGUGUUGAAUAUCUUGUGACUCACCGAAAUGAAAAUCAUAAAAUAAAAUUUGUCCUUAAUGC
Molecule: long non-coding RNA, 758 nt
Filed under: Homo sapiens (human)
Lineage: Eukaryota; Metazoa; Chordata; Mammalia; Primates; Hominidae
Description: PREDICTED lncRNA (TCONS_00169661)
Source: RNAcentral